GCCUACGGUCAUACCACCCUGAAUGCACCUGAUCCUUGUAUGAUCUCAGAAGCUAAGCAGGGUCUAGUUUGGUUAGCACUUGGAUGGGAGAAUGUGAUGGGCCAAGUUUGGUCCACAGGCC
RNAcentral lists this ribosomal RNA (121 nucleotides) under Jaculus jaculus (lesser Egyptian jerboa). The record is from RNAcentral. Lineage: Eukaryota; Metazoa; Chordata; Mammalia; Rodentia; Dipodidae.